RNAcentral lists this ribosomal RNA (507 nucleotides) under uncultured bacterium. RNAcentral's name for it is "bacterial SSU rRNA". It matches the Rfam family "Bacterial small subunit ribosomal RNA", at positions 29 to 524 of the family's 1533-position model. The record is from RNAcentral.
AGUGAACGCUGGCGGUAGGCCUAACACAUGCAAGUCGAACGGCAGCACAGGAGAGCUUGCUCUCUGGGUGGCGAGUGGCGGACGGGUGAGGAAUGCAUCGGAAUCUACUCUUUCGUGGGGGAUAACGUAGGGAAACUUACGCUAAUACCGCAUACGACCUACGGGUGAAAGCCGGGGACCUUCGGGCCUGGCGCGAAUGAAUGAGCCGAUGCCCGAUUAGCUAGUUGGCGGGGUAAGAGCCCACCAAGGCGACGAUCGGUAGCUGGUCUGAGAGGAUGAUCAGCCACACUGGAACUGAGACACGGUCCAGACUCCUACGGGAGGCAGCAGUGGGGAAUAUUGGACAAUGGGCGCAAGCCUGAUCCAGCCAUACCGCGUGGGUGAAGAAGGCCUUCGGGUUGUAAAGCCCUUUUGUUGGGAAAGAAAAGCAGCUGGUUAAUACCCGGUUGUUCUGACGGUACCCAAAGAAUAAGCACCGGCUAACUUCGUGCCAGCAGCCGCGGUAAU